CCCCACCUCCAAAUACCACCACACUGGGGGCUAGGAUUUCAACAAAUGAAUUUUGAGGGGAACACAAACAUUCAGUCCCUGACAAUUACAUUCUUUGUAUUUCUUAUGCUUUAUUAUAUAUGAGUAUUGUGACUAAUAUUUGAGAAUUUUCUCAAAGUGCCAAGGGACCUCAAAGCAGGGAUACUGAUGCUGCUGGUCUGGGGACCACACCCUGAGAACCAUGGGACUAGAGCAUCAGAUGCAUAAAGAUCAGCUUGAGUCAAGGCUCACUGAGUUGGCUCAUGGGAGUCUGCAAGGAUCUUGUCUUAUGAAGAACAUACUUCGGAGGUAUCUGCCCAGCCCCCGCCCCUCGCCUCUUCUUUAGGAUUGUCCCCC
RNAcentral lists this long non-coding RNA (375 nucleotides) under Equus caballus (horse). Its description in RNAcentral is "lncRNA (ENSECAG00000059649.1)". Lineage: Eukaryota; Metazoa; Chordata; Mammalia; Perissodactyla; Equidae. The record is from RNAcentral.